CUGAGUGACCCUUUGGAGGUGCUGGGCUGUGCAGAGGGGCUGUGCUGGUCUUUCUGAGCCCCAGCCAUGGGCUCUGACUGUCCCCAAACCCACCCAAAAUAGAUGCAGUGCUUUGCCUGGAGUCACCUUGAGUGGAGCUUUCUGAGGACAGAUCUGCCCUGUCCUGACCUUGCCAGAGGCCAGGGCUCUCCUGGAUUGUCUCCUCUGGUGCUGGGGUCACAUUUUGGCCCUGUUCCACCAGCUGCAGCAUCCUGCACCCAUGCCACGUCCCCGCUGUCUGCAGGCUCUGCCCAAGGGGACAACCUAGUUAAGAUUGGACUUAACAAGCCUUUCACUUAAGGUCUUGGGCUGUCCCUUGGAACAAGCUCUUUUCCAUCCUUCCAUUACCAAGCAGCUGCAUCUGGGCCUGGAGAGGAUGUUAUUUCAUGUCCUAUUAUUUCAACAGCACCUCGGAGCUACGAGGAGAUUGAAGCUGCCUCUGUGCUUCCUCCCCAAAUGUCAGGAACCUCGGCUCAUGCACAUGGUGUGGCUGUGACCUCUCUGCUCAGAGCUCUCCAGGGAAAGCAGAUGUGAUUUAAAGAGGGGAACAAAACAGUGAGGGAAGGACAAAUCCCCCGAGGCCGGAGCAUCUCCGGGCGGUGCCGAUUACAAGAUGUGCUGCGGUGUCCUCCGACCUGCUGAUUCCUCCCGAGGGCUUUGGGAAGCUGCUUCCCUGCUCCCAGCUGAGCCAGCCCUGGCUCUGAUUCCCCUGGGAUUCGUGGCAUGCUCGUUUGUGCUGGGAUCUAAGCACUGUGUGCCAGGCUGAACAAGGUGGUUUCAUGGCUGCAGAGCUCCAGGCAGGGAGUGAGAAGGAUGAACCUUUUGGAUGUGGAGUCUUCACUUUUCCCUCGUCCCUAAUUAAAGGAGUGACCUUGA
Molecule: long non-coding RNA, 915 nt
Organism: Pseudopipra pipra
Lineage: Eukaryota; Metazoa; Chordata; Aves; Passeriformes; Pipridae
Exons: 3
Source: RefSeq, a predicted model, not a curated record